UACGGGGGAUGCGAGCGUUGUCCGGAAUCAUUGGGCGUAAAGAGUUCGUAGGUGGUUUGUUAAGUCUGGUGUUAAAUACCGAGGCUCAACCUCGGAAUGGCACCGGAUACUGGCAGACUUGAAUGCUGUAGAGGUACAGGGAGUUCCUGGUGUAGCGGUGAAAUGCGUAGAUAUCAGGAGGAACAUCGGUGGCGAAAGCGCUUUACUGGGCAGUAAUUGACACUGAGGAACGAAAGCCGGGGUAGCAAAC
RNAcentral lists this ribosomal RNA (250 nucleotides) under uncultured prokaryote. RNAcentral's name for it is "partial 16S ribosomal RNA". It matches the Rfam family "Bacterial small subunit ribosomal RNA", at positions 524 to 773 of the family's 1533-position model. The record is from RNAcentral.